UAAUAGCAAUUUGACUCGAAAUAUCUACAAAACAAAGACAAUGUAACAUUAAUCUAACAGAAAUUUAACAUUUGGAAGCAUACAUUACGAGUAAUACUAACAAUUUUUUUUUUCUGAUGCACCACUUGGUUUUAGAAGUUCCACUUGCCGAACACAUCCUUGCAUUUUGUUAAUGGUGGCGUUAAUAACUCGCAUUCGCUUCAUUAAAGAUCUUUUUCGGCCGAAUAAGAGUGAUAAAUGAAGGAAGUGUGGUCUUGUAUCCAUUCUCCACUCGGGGACCAGAAUUGGUCCCUUGAUUAAUAUAUACCUACCAUUGGAUCUUAGGAGAUAUCAAGAUAGACUUGACAUAAGUGUACAUCUUCUUCAUCUGAAUAUGAAGAAGAUCGUGGAGCAGAACUUAUUUUUGAGGGGAGUUUAUUGAGAAGGGUAGAUGAUAUUAACU
This 442-nucleotide long non-coding RNA is filed under the name Olea europaea (common olive). RNAcentral describes it as "long non-coding RNA (OEUR_LNC011636)". Lineage: Eukaryota; Viridiplantae; Streptophyta; Magnoliopsida; Lamiales; Oleaceae. The record is from RNAcentral.